CAUGGGAUGCUUUAUACUGCUAUGCACGUUUUAGAGAUGACAAACUGAGCCCCAAAUGAUGCUUUCCCAGGGCCCGACAGCUUCAUUGGAGGUGGAGACAAGAAGUAGGACUCUUGUAGUUUCUGAUGACAAAGCUGAGUCCACACUCUUCACCUCGGCGGGCAUGGAGGAUCCAGGGUAAGGAGAUUCCAGCUCCAAUACUGAUGGUGACACCCUGGGCAACCUUAUUCUCUGUCCAGUCAGUGUCUUUAGGCAUCAGCCCCUUAUUUCCUGUCCUCAUCUCACCAGGACACUCCACAUGCAAAAUGGUAAGUUCUUCAGAAAAAAAAAAUGGAUUUGAAAAA
This is a long non-coding RNA of Myotis davidii, 344 nucleotides long. RefSeq lists it as uncharacterized. The record is from RefSeq and is a predicted model, not a curated record. The transcript has 2 exons. Lineage: Eukaryota; Metazoa; Chordata; Mammalia; Chiroptera; Vespertilionidae.